This 274-nucleotide ribosomal RNA is filed under the name uncultured bacterium. RNAcentral's name for it is "partial 16S ribosomal RNA". It matches the Rfam family "Bacterial small subunit ribosomal RNA", at positions 523 to 796 of the family's 1533-position model. The record is from RNAcentral.
AUACGGAGGGUGCGAGCGUUAAUCGGAAUUACUGGGCGUAAAGGGUGCGUAGGCGGCUUGAUAAGUCGGAUGGGAAAGCCCCGGGCUUAACCUGGGAAUUGCAUUCGAUACUGUCAGGCUAGAGUAUGUCAGAGGUUGGCGGAAUUCCUGGUGUAGCGGUGAAAUGCGUAGAUAUCAGGAGGAACACCAGUGGCGAAGGCGGCUAACUGGGGCAAUACUGACGCUGAGGCACGAAAGCGUGGGGAGCAAACAGGAUUAGAAACCCUAGUAGUCC